RNAcentral lists this ribosomal RNA (255 nucleotides) under uncultured bacterium. Its description in RNAcentral is "partial 16S ribosomal RNA". It matches the Rfam family "Bacterial small subunit ribosomal RNA", at positions 524 to 777 of the family's 1533-position model. The record is from RNAcentral.
UACGAAGGGAGCUAGCGUUGUUCGGAAUUACUGGGCGUAAAGGGCGCGUAGGCGGCUUGGCAAGUUGGGUGUGAAAGCCCAGGGCUCAACCCUGGAAUUGCACUCAAGACUGCCUUGCUUGAAUUCGGUAGAGGUUGGUGGAAUUCCCAGUGUAGAGGUGAAAUUCGUAGAGAUUGGGAAGAACACCCGUGGCGAAGGCGGCCAACUGGACCGACAUUGACGCUGAGGCGCGAAAGCGUGGGGGAUCAAACAGGG